UACAGAGGUGGCAAGCGUUGUUCGGAAUUACUGGGCGUAAAGGGCGCGUAGGCGGCCUUCUAAGUCAGACGUGAAAUCCCCCGGCUUAACCUGGGAACUGCGUCUGAUACUGGAGGGCUUGAGUGCGGGAGAGGGAUGUGGAAUUCCAGGUGUAGCGGUGAAAUGCGUAGAUAUCUGGAGGAACACCGGUGGCGAAGGCGGCAUCCUGGACCGGUAUUGACGCUGAGGAGCGAAAGCCAGGGGAGCAAACGGG
Molecule: ribosomal RNA, 253 nt
Filed under: uncultured bacterium
Lineage: Bacteria
Description: partial 16S ribosomal RNA
Rfam family: Bacterial small subunit ribosomal RNA
Source: RNAcentral